This 492-nucleotide ribosomal RNA is filed under the name uncultured bacterium. RNAcentral describes it as "partial 16S ribosomal RNA". It matches the Rfam family "Bacterial small subunit ribosomal RNA", at positions 29 to 507 of the family's 1533-position model. The record is from RNAcentral.
AGUGAACGCUGGCGGUAGGCCUAACACAUGCAAGUCGAACGGCAGCACAGUAAGAGCUUGCUCUUACGGGUGGCGAGUGGCGGACGGGUGAGGAAUACAUCGGAAUCUACUUUUUCGUGGGGGAUAACGUAGGGAAACUUACGCUAAUACCGCAUACGACCUACGGGUGAAAGCAGGGGAUCUUCGGACCUUGCGCGAUUGAAUGAGCCGAUGUCGGAUUAGCUAGUUGGCGGGGUAAAGGCCCACCAAGGCGACGAUCCGUAGCUGGUCUGAGAGGAUGAUCAGCCACACUGGAACUGAGACACGGUCCGGACUCCUACGGGAGGCAGCAGUGGGGAAUAUUGGACAAAGGGCGCAAGCCUGAUCCAGCCAUACCGCGUGGGUGAAGAAGGCCUUCGGGUUGUAAAGCCCUUUUGUUGGGGAAGAAAAGCAGCAGGUUAAUACCCCGCUGUUCUGACGGUACCCAAAGAAUAAGCACCGGCUAACUUCGUG